RNAcentral lists this ribosomal RNA (466 nucleotides) under uncultured bacterium. RNAcentral's name for it is "bacterial SSU rRNA". It matches the Rfam family "Bacterial small subunit ribosomal RNA", at positions 328 to 792 of the family's 1533-position model. The record is from RNAcentral.
CUUCCAGACUCCUACGGGAGGCAGCAGUGAGGAAUAUUGGUCAAUGGCCGAGAGGCUGAACCAGCCAAGUCGCGUGAGGGAAGACGGCCCUACGGGUUGUAAACCUCUUUUGUCGGGGAGCAAAGCGAACCACGUGUGGUUCAUUGAGAGUACCCGAAGAAAAAGCAUCGGCUAACUCCGUGCCAGCAGCCGCGGUAAUACGGAGGAUGCGAGCGUUAUCCGGAUUUAUUGGGUUUAAAGGGUGCGUAGGCGGACAGUCAAGUCAGCGGUAAAAAUUCGGGGCUCAACCCCGUCCGGCCGUUGAAACUGGGGGCCUUGAGUGGGCGAGAAGAAGGCGGAAUGCGUGGUGUAGCGGUGAAAUGCAUAGAUAUCACGCAGAACCCCGAUUGCGAAGGCAGCCUUCCGGCGCCCUACUGACGCUGAGGCACGAAAGUGCGGGGAUCGAACAGGAUUAGAUACCCUGGUA